AACCUAAUCAAUUCUACCACCAUUUUUUUUGUGAACUUUAUUGCUAAUACAUGUAUUUUUUCUUCUGUUUUUUUUUUUUUUUUUUAGAAAGGCAUGUAUAUCCCGAAGCUCCCCCUCACUUAAGAAUUAUAGACUCCAAGCUCAGAAGGGAAUAGUCAAAAUUCUACGCCCGACCCAUAGUUAAGACUCAAGAAAUAAGCUAGUCUAAAUCUCGCCUCUAGAACAGUUAUAGUGUAACUACAACUUCCCGCACAAGCAAUUUCUAAGCAUGCAAGACAUCACAUAUGAUCAAGACUACUAACCAAGAAAUUAUGCAAAUAAG
This 322-nucleotide long non-coding RNA is filed under the name Daucus carota (carrot). RNAcentral's name for it is "long non-coding RNA (DCAR_LNC006561)". Lineage: Eukaryota; Viridiplantae; Streptophyta; Magnoliopsida; Apiales; Apiaceae. The record is from RNAcentral.